GAAUUCAGUGAAUCAUCGAAUCUUUGAACGCACAUUGCGCCCCUUGGUAUUCCGAGGGGCAUGCCUGUUCGAGCGUCAUUACACCACUCAAGCACUGCUUGGUAUUGGGCAUCGUCCGUCGAAAGACGGGCGUGCCUCGAAGACCUCGGCGGGGCCUAACCGGCUUCGGGCGUAGUAGAGUUAAAUCGAACGUCUUAURAGUCUGGUUAGAACCCAUUGCCGUAAAACCUUUAAUUUUCUAGGUUGACCUCGGAUCAGGUAGGGAUACCCGCUGAACUUAAGCAUAUCAAUAAGCGGAGGAAAAGAAACCAACAGGGAUUGCCCUAGUAACGGCGAGUGAAGCGGCAAUAGCUCAAAUUUGAAAGCUGGCCUCUGGUCCGCAUUGUAAUUUGUAGAGGAUGCUUUUAGGCAGCCGCCGGUCUAAGUUCCUUGGAACAGGACGUCAUAGAGGGUGAGAAUCCCGUAUGUGACCGGCUCAGGCACCUUCUGUAAAGCUCCUUCGACGAGUCGAGUUGUUUGGGAAUGCAGCUCUAAAUGGGAGGUAAAUUUCUUCUAAAGCUAAAUACCGGCGAGAGACCGAUAGCGCACAAGUAGAGUGAUCGAAAGAUGAAAAGCACUUUGGAAAGAGAGUUAAAAAGCACGUGAAAUUGUUGAAAGGGAAGCGCUUGCAAUCAGACUUGGCCUCGRRUGUUCAACCGGUCUUCUGACCGGCCUAUUCAUUCGGGGCCAGGCCAGCAUCAGUUUCGGCGGCCGGAUAAAGGCCUUGGGAAUGUGGCUUUUYCUUCGGGGGAAGUGUUAUAGCCCAGGGUGUAAUACGGCCAGCU
RNAcentral lists this ribosomal RNA (824 nucleotides) under Dothideomycetes sp. genotype 794 JMUR-2016. RNAcentral describes it as "eukaryotic LSU rRNA". The record is from RNAcentral. Lineage: Eukaryota; Fungi; Ascomycota; Dothideomycetes.